CUCUGCUGGACUUUAAUAAGUGAGUCCAGGAUACUGGAGGUAGAAAAGAAGAAAAGAACUGAAAAUAAUACGGAUGUUUUGUGAGGACAGAGGUGUUGUACUGCUUGGAUAAAACAGUGUCUCAGCAGAUGUAUGGAAUAGAGAAAGCAGAUGUAUAGAAUGGAGAAACCAGACGGGAUGUGACCAAG
This is a long non-coding RNA of Lagopus muta (rock ptarmigan), 188 nucleotides long. RefSeq lists it as uncharacterized. NCBI's taxonomy places the organism in Eukaryota, Metazoa, Chordata, Aves, Galliformes, Phasianidae. The transcript is spliced from 3 exons. The record is from RefSeq and is a predicted model, not a curated record.